AACGAACGCUGGCGGCAUGCCUAACACAUGCAAGUCGAACGAGACGGUCGGGCCUAGGUGCGCACGUGUGCGUAACACCGGGUAACCUGCCCUUAGGUUCGGAAUAACUGCCCGAAAGGUGUGCUAAUACCGGUGAAUGUCAUCCGACCAAAGAGUUAUCGCCUUUGGAUGGGGCCUCGUUGGAUUAGCUAGUUGGUAGGGUAAAAGCCGACCAAGGCGACGAUACAGAGCUGGUCUGAGAGGAUGAUCAGACACGCUGGGACUGAGACCCGGCACAGCCUCCUACGGGAGGAGGCAGUAGGGAAUAUUAGACGAUGGGCGACAGACUGAUCAAGCCCUGCCGCGUGAGUGAUGCAGGCCUUAGGGUUGUCACGCUCUCCUGCCAGGGAUGAUAAUGACCGUAACGGGAGAAUGAACCACGGCCAAACCACUG
Molecule: ribosomal RNA, 433 nt
Filed under: uncultured bacterium
Lineage: Bacteria
Description: partial 16S ribosomal RNA
Rfam family: Bacterial small subunit ribosomal RNA
Source: RNAcentral